Molecule: ribosomal RNA, 376 nt
Filed under: uncultured bacterium
Lineage: Bacteria
Description: bacterial SSU rRNA
Rfam family: Bacterial small subunit ribosomal RNA
Source: RNAcentral
AUACGUAGGUGGCGAGCGUUGUCCGGAAUUACUGGGUGUAAAGGGAGCGCAGGCGGGGAGACAAGUCAGCUGUGAAAACUAACGGCUUAACCGAUAGAGUGCAGUUGAAACUGUUUUUCUUGAGUGGAGCAGAGGCAGGCGGAAUUCCGAGUGUAGCGGUGAAAUGCGUAGAUAUUCGGAGGAACACCAGUGGCGAAGGCGGCCUGCUGGGCUUUAACUGACGCUGAGGCUCGAAAGUGUGGGGAGCAAACAGGAUUAGAUACCCUGGUAGUCCACACUGUAAACGAUGAUUGCUAGGUGUGGGGGGUCUGACCCCCUCCGUGCCGGAGCUAACGCAAUAAGCAAUCCACCUGGGGAGUACGGCCGCAAGGUUGAA